GGCGGAUUAGCCAACGAUAAGAACGC
This 26-nucleotide transfer RNA is filed under the name Adelphia hiraea. RNAcentral's name for it is "partial tRNA-His". Lineage: Eukaryota; Viridiplantae; Streptophyta; Magnoliopsida; Malpighiales; Malpighiaceae. The record is from RNAcentral.